UGCGUAGACGGUAUGUUAAGUUUGUUGUUAAAGACUCUAGCCUAACUGGAGGGUUGCAAUGAAAACUGGCGUGCUAGAGGGUGAGAGAGAGAAGUGGAAUUCCUGGAGUAGCGGUAAAAUGCGUGGAUCUCAGGAGGAACACCAAUGGCGAAGGCAGCUUCUUGGCUCAUUUCUGACGUUGAGGCACGAAAGCGUGGGAGCAAACA
This 206-nucleotide ribosomal RNA is filed under the name uncultured bacterium. RNAcentral describes it as "partial 16S ribosomal RNA". It matches the Rfam family "Bacterial small subunit ribosomal RNA", at positions 568 to 774 of the family's 1533-position model. The record is from RNAcentral.